This 71-nucleotide transfer RNA is filed under the name Plestiodon laticeps. RNAcentral's name for it is "tRNA-Ile". It matches the Rfam family "tRNA". Rfam says of the family: Transfer RNA (tRNA) molecules are approximately 80 nucleotides in length. Their secondary structure includes four short double-helical elements and three loops (D, anti-codon, and T loops). The record is from RNAcentral. Lineage: Eukaryota; Metazoa; Chordata; Lepidosauria; Squamata; Scincidae.
GGAAAUGUGCCCGAAACCUAGGGGUUACUUUGAUAGAGUAAAACACAGAGGUUAAAAUCCUCUCAUUUUCC